RNAcentral lists this transfer RNA (74 nucleotides) under Candidatus Omnitrophota bacterium. RNAcentral's name for it is "Candidatus Omnitrophica bacterium tRNA-Arg". It matches the Rfam family "tRNA". Rfam says of the family: Transfer RNA (tRNA) molecules are approximately 80 nucleotides in length. Their secondary structure includes four short double-helical elements and three loops (D, anti-codon, and T loops). Further hydrogen bonds mediate the characteristic L-shaped molecular structure. tRNAs have two regions of fundamental functional importance: the anti-codon, which is responsible for specific mRNA codon recognition, and the 3' end, to which the tRNAs corresponding amino acid is attached (by aminoacyl-tRNA synthetases). tRNAs cope with the degeneracy of the genetic code in two manners: having more than one tRNA (with a specific anti-codon) for a particular amino acid; and 'wobble' base-pairing, i.e. permitting non-standard base-pairing at the 3rd anti-codon position. The record is from RNAcentral. Lineage: Bacteria; Pseudomonadati; Candidatus Omnitrophota.
GCCCCUAUAGCUCAGUAGGAUAGAGCACAAGUUUCCUAAACUUGGUGCCGCAGGUUCGAUUCCUGCUAGGGGUA